RNAcentral lists this ribosomal RNA (373 nucleotides) under uncultured organism. RNAcentral's name for it is "partial 16S ribosomal RNA". It matches the Rfam family "Bacterial small subunit ribosomal RNA", at positions 527 to 896 of the family's 1533-position model. The record is from RNAcentral.
GUAGGUGGCAAGCGUUGUCCGGAAUUAUUGGGCGUAAAGCGCGCGCAGGCGGUUCUUUAAGUCUGAUGUGAAAGCCCACGGCUCAACCGUGGAGGGUCAUUGGAAACUGGAGAACUUGAGUACAGAAGAGGAAAGCGGAAUUCCACGUGUAGCGGUGAAAUGCGUAGAGAUGUGGAGGAACACCAGUGGCGAAGGCGGCUUUCUGGUCUGUAACUGACGCUGAGGCGCGAAGGCGUGGGGAGCAAACAGGAUUAGAUACCCUGGUAGUCCACGCCGUAAACGAUGAGUGCUAAGUGUUAGGGGGGUUUCCGCCCCCCUUAGUGCUGCAGCUAACGCAUUAAGCACUCCGCCUGGGAGUACGGCCGCAAGGCUG